CGAAAUGCGAUAAGUAAUGUGAAUUGCAGAAUUCAGUGAAUCAUCGAAUCUUUGAACGCACCUUGCGCUCCUUGGUAUUCCUUGGAGCAUGCCUGUUUGAGUAUCAUGAAAUCUUCAAAGUAAAUCUUUUGUUAACUCAAUUGGUUUCUACUUUGGUAUUGGAGGUCUUUGCAGCUUCACACCUGCUCCUCUUUGUUCAUUAGCUGGAUCUCAGUGUUAUGCUUGGUUCCACUCGGCGUGAUAAGUUAUCUAUCGCUGAGGACACUGUAAAAGGUGGCCAAGGUAAAUGCAGAUGAACCGCUUCUAAUAGUCCAUUGACUUGGACAAUACUUUUAUGAUCUGAUCUCAAAUCAGAUAGGACUACCCGCUGAACUUAAGC
Molecule: unclassified non-coding RNA, 379 nt
Filed under: plant metagenome
Description: partial contains 5.8S ribosomal RNA, internal transcribed spacer 2, and large subunit ribosomal RNA
Rfam family: 5.8S ribosomal RNA (bases 1-106)
Source: RNAcentral